This 2034-nucleotide long non-coding RNA is filed under the name Zalophus californianus (California sea lion). RNAcentral's name for it is "lncRNA (ENSZCAG00015001608.1)". The record is from RNAcentral. Lineage: Eukaryota; Metazoa; Chordata; Mammalia; Carnivora; Otariidae.
UUCCUCGCUAGAAUGUGAGCUCCAGGAGGACAAGGACCUGUCUGUUUUUCUCCAUGUUCAAAUCUCAUGUUCCGGCACAGGACCUGCUUGCACUGGGACUGCUCAGCAAAUAUUGGCGGAACUAAUGAACUCCACAUCGGAAGGCAGUCAUAAGGACCAGCUCCAGCAGUCUGAGAGUGACGGCAUGAGAACAAUAUUGAGAAGAACCUGGAGGCCCUCUCAAGGCUCACUACUCAUGAGGAAGGCUCCAAGCUGGGCGUGGAGGGCUCAAACUCACGACCCUGAGAUCAAGAUCUGAGCCAAGAUCAAGAGUUGGACACUUAACCACCUGAGCCACAUAGGUGCUCCAGUCUCACUUUUUAGGGGAAAAAAAAGAUAUAUAUAUAUAUAUAUGAAGGAGAUGCUUCUAAAUUUAAUUUAAACUUUAGCCGUUGUAACCCAUCUGUGUGGAGAAGAAACCCCAAAUUGCCAACCAUCUUUGUUCUGAACAAAGGUUGGUACCGUUUGCCAUCACUGAGUCUAUGCUCCAGGAGGUCAGGGGCUUGAUAGACUUUGUUUACAGGUCUAUUUCCCAGAGCCUGGGGCAGUGCUAGGCUCAUGGGAGAAAUCUAUAACUAUUGGCUGAGUGCAUAAAUAAAGUUGGGGUUAUUUACUCAUUUUGAAACCCUCCCAUGGCUUCUUCAGGCAGAGAUUAGACUGGGCCUCCAGCUCCCAGGCCUGUCCCAGAGGAGACCUGUGUGGCCUUUACAUCAAUAAUCUCAGGCAUAUUCCAUGUGAAUGCGGUGUUUAGCUGGGCUUGCCACUCAAGCUAACUUAUGGUCCUUUUCUGAGAGCCUCACUACAUACAAGCCCUGAAAUAACUAGGUGCCAGGAACCACUACAGAAACAAAGGGAGACCUUACAAGGAGGGAGGUAGAGUGACUAGGUGAGGAUCAUCAGGUCAAGACUCAUAAGAACACAGUUCUGGUCACUCCCACAUCACUUAACUAGUGUGUGAAGCUUGCUAAGUCAUGUAUUCACUUGAGACCUCAUUCAAAAACUGAAGGGGUUCUUUAGAUCUUAAAUUUUUUCAUCCAAAAAUCUCCACUCUGUGGCCUAGAGUAAGUUUAUAUACCCUGCACCCAAAGCUGAAUCCAUCUACACGUCUGCUACUCCUUCAGAGAUGCCCAUAAGAAAGGUCUGAGAAUGCUCUUGCACCUGCCUUUGGCUGGGGAGAGAGUCAUGCCUGCCUGCCCUCUUGGGGAAGAGAAGGUACCUGGCCUAAUAUACUUCCUGCAGCUCCUAAGGACAAGGCUGGUUUCUUUUGGCCUCACUAGGUAAUAAAAACUUGUGCAUGCAUGCUAGGAGUUGCAUGACGGAACGUUCAAGAUAACCAGCUGAAUUUUAUGAAAAACAGGCAGCGAAGCAUCUUUACUCCUUUUCCAUGGAAACAAAAAUAAUUUUCAAAAAUAUUACCUAGAUAACAGUGCUAUCUGAUCUAAAAAAGUCCUUUGAUAUCUAGUCUUCAAAGGUGACCCCAAGGAAACAUACCUCUCAGUUUUCAUGCCCUCCCACAUCAAAUUGAGGCCACACCUAUAUAACCAACAGAAUGCAGCAGGAGUGACACUGUAUGACUUCUGAACCUAGAUCAUAAGAAGUCUUGAAGCUCCCAUUUUAGUCUCCAGGAAUGUCAAUUCUUGGAAUGCUCACUCUUAGAUCCCAGUCACAUGCUGCAAGAAGCUCAAGCUAUGUAGAGAAGCCAUGUCUCAGCACUCCAGUUGACCAUGGCCCCAGUUGGGCUCCCAGCUAACAGCCAGCUUUGACUGCCAGCCCUACAAGGGUGCCAUCUUGGAGGUCUGGCCCUUUCGAGUCCUUGGAUUACUCAGCCACAGCCCCCAUCUGACUGCAACCACCAUUCUGCAUCCAAUCUGCAUCUUGCAAGCUGUCUCUCACACCAAAGAAUUGUACAGAAAUUCUAGGUCAGGUCAAGUAUUUCCUUUUACAGUUCAAAGAACAUAAUCCCUAUAACUCCAAUUUCUCAGGGUUGUUACUCUG